RNAcentral lists this ribosomal RNA (492 nucleotides) under uncultured bacterium. Its description in RNAcentral is "partial 16S ribosomal RNA". It matches the Rfam family "Bacterial small subunit ribosomal RNA", at positions 29 to 507 of the family's 1533-position model. The record is from RNAcentral.
AGUGAACGCUGGCGGUAGGCCUAACACAUGCAAGUCGAACGGCAGCACAGUAAGAGCUUGCUCUUACGGGUGGCGAGUGGCGGACGGGUGAGGAAUACAUCGGAAUCUACUUUUUCGUGGGGGAUAACGUAGGGAAACUUACGCUAAUACCGCAUACGACCUACGGGUGAAAUCAGGGGAUCUUCGGACCUUGCGCGAUUGAAUGAGCCGAUGUCGGAUUGGCUAGUUGGCGGGGUAAAGGCCCACCAAGGCGACGAUCCGUAGCUGGUCUGAGAGGAUGAUCGGCCACACUGGAACUGAGACACGGUCCAGACUCCUACGGGAGGCAGAGGUGGGGAAUAUUGGACAAUGGGCGCAAGCCUGAUCCAGCCAUACCGCGUGGGUGAAGAAGGCCUUCGGGUUGUAAAGCCCUUUUGUUGGGAAAGAAAAGCAGCAGGUUAAUACCCCGCUGUUCUGACGGUACCCAAAGAAUAAGCACCGGCUAACUUCGUG